CAGUGAGGAAUAUUGGUCACAUGGGCGAGAGGCUGAACCAGCCAAGUCCGCGUGAAGGAUGAAGGUUCUAUGGAUCUUAAACUUCUUUUAUAAGGGAAUAAAGUGCGGGACGUGUCCCGUUUUGUAUGUACCUUAUGAAUAAGGAUCGGCUAACUCCGUGCCAGCAGCCGCGGUAAUACG
This 180-nucleotide ribosomal RNA is filed under the name uncultured bacterium. RNAcentral's name for it is "partial 16S ribosomal RNA". It matches the Rfam family "Bacterial small subunit ribosomal RNA", at positions 352 to 527 of the family's 1533-position model. The record is from RNAcentral.